AUGAGUCAUUUUUCCAUAGGAAUGAGGAGAGAAAAUAGAGGAAGAGAUGGCAACACUGAAGAAGGAAAACAGGCGCCCGGUAGCAGCUGCCAAAGGGAUGUGCCAGCGUCCCAACAAACAGCUUGGAACUUCCAGCAGGCAGAGAUGGCAACACUGAAGAAUAGUCAUAGCAGCAGUACGUAUCUCCUCAAUUCAUGUGAGUUCACUGAGGACCUCAUAACAUUAUUGAAUAUCAGUAAACUUGCAGGGUAUAGUGAAUCACCCACCCCAGCCAAACACAGCAUGCAAAGGCUAGGUAGGCGUAGAGGAAGCUGA
Molecule: ribosomal RNA, 315 nt
Filed under: Triticum aestivum (bread wheat)
Lineage: Eukaryota; Viridiplantae; Streptophyta; Magnoliopsida; Poales; Poaceae
Description: partial small subunit ribosomal RNA
Source: RNAcentral